GAAGAGUCAUGGUUUUCACGCAAAAUCUAUCGCUUCAGAUGGAAUUCCUCCUGGUUUAUUGAGGGAAAAAGGGUGGACACUUUAUGCUAGCACUCCCCGCAACUACCAAUUAAGCCAAGCUUUAGGCUCAAAUGAUUCCUUGCGUUCCAAGCUACCAAAUUUCAAUUUUCCAAUUUUGAAUGAUUGUUCUGAAUCAGUGGUUGUUGGAAAGUGGUAUUGUCCUUUUAUGUUUGUUAAGGAAGGAAUGAAUUUAAAAGAGCAAAUGAAGAUGUCAAUGUUCUAUGAGCUAACACUUGAGCAAAGAUGGGAGAAGAUAUUUUCAAAGGAAAAUAGUGGAGAAGGUGGUGUGGUUGUAGAUGUUGCUAUUCAAACAGAAGUUGCUAAGGUUGAAGGAAAGGAUGCUGUUUGGGAUGAAAAUAGAUUGGUUGAUGGAGUUUUGUGGUUUAAGAGUGUUGAAAAGAAAAGUGUUGGAUUGAGUUUGGAAGUUGUUGAGGCAAUGAAAUGGGAACAAAGAAGGUUUGGAUGGAAUGCUGGGAAUGGAAGACAAGUGAGAGUAACAAAAGUUGAAGAGUUUGAUGGAACAAACAAAUGGAAGAAAUUUAGUAGUUAUGUGUUGGUUGAAAGUUAUUCAUUGAGGAGAAUGGAUUCAAAAUUGGUUCUUACUUAUGAUUAUAGACACUCACAUCAAAUUAGGAGCAAAUGCGAAUGAUGAUUUUCUCAAACAUUUGUUUACUUUAAACUUUCUUCUGAUUUGUUCACUUCAAUAUUUUGUUCUUGUUAUUCAUUAUUAUAUUAUGUACAGCUCAUUUAUGUAUACUAAUAGUUGAUGUUAGAGCCCACAUAUUUUGGCUCCUUUAUUUUGUGUAUGCAAGUAAAUAUGAAAGGGUACUCCGAUCCAUGCAAACUACUAUCCCAUAUAAUCAUUAUUAGUUCUCUUUUGUUUGUUUUUUUUUUCCAUAAGAAAGAAUCAAGUUAUCAACUGGCCGAACUUGUAUAAUCCUUUUUCACUAACUAUAUUAAUUAGAUUGGAUAGCCACUUUGGUUCAAAACAUCAAAAGAAAUUCACAUCACAAAAUUGCACUAAUUCAGCAAUGGCUGAUCACCACUCAAAUUCAAUGUGUUUGUAGAUUAUGUUUUAGUUUUAGAUCCUCAACUAUAAGCAUCAUUUGUAGUGAAAAUUAUCAUAUGGUCCCCCCCUCCUCCCUCCCUCCGUCCCUCUCUCUCUCUCUCCAUAUAUAUGCAAAUUAGAGCAAAACACUUGGGUCAUGAUACAAAUCUAACUCAUUCUUGGUUUAAACCUUCUCUUGGCACUAUUUGGUGUAAUAUUGAUUGUGCCUCUUUCAAUAACAAUUUCAUUACGUGGUAUGAAAUUAUGUCCUAGAGAAUCAGCGAGACAGUUUCUUCUCCAUGGUCAAUAUGAUUGGAUGUGCUGCAAUGUCACCACCAUAGAAGCUGAAGUUGUAGGCUUCAAGAAGCUAUCAAAGUGGCAAUUUCUAGAGAUAUGCAAAUAUAGUAGUGUUCAAAUUGGAUUGUAAGCCGGUUGUGUGGAUGCCAUCUCUCUUCCUUGUAUUCCGUUCAUUCGUUUGGAGGUAAGAAAAUAAGGUAUUUUAUAACAUUGUUAGAGUCUCCUUAUGUCUCACUAAUCCCCAUAAUUUGUAUGACGUACCACAUACUUUAUACUACAUCCGUCUCUAAUUAUAAGACUCUUUUGAAUUUUUUUCUUUGUUCCUUUUUAUAGGAUCCUCUUGAAUCUUCAUUUAUCAUCUUUCCAAGUACCACACAAAUCUUCUGAUGUCUUUGCUUUGCCGAUUUGCAUGAUUUCUUCUUGAAUUACAUCAAAAACACCAUAAAAUUGCUAUAUUUCAAAAAUACAUGCAUAUUAAAUGUGACACCGUCAUGAAAAUAUUCCACCAUACGUAUACGCAUUUGACACCAUUACUCAAAAUACAUUACCAACAGGGCCAGCCCUAGUCAAGUGCAACCAGCCCCUUGGCACAGGGACUCACACUUAGAGGGGCAUCAAAAUUAAAAAAAAGGAAAAAAUACUUGUACCUACGGACAAAAUCCGUCACUAAAUGUUCCGUAGGUAAAUGUUUGGAAGACAACAAUUAUGAUGUCAAUUAUGAAUUGUCCAUAAGUAAAGAUCUAUUUAUCCUUAGCUAAAAGUCAUGUUUGAACCCUUGCUUAUAUAUUUAACUACAAUUUAAUUGUCUAUUACUAUAAACAGUGUUGGAUUUUUUUUACAAUUCUUUUUAAAUGAAAAUUGUCAAGUCUGUAACUGGACCUCCGAAUUAUCAGGAACGAUUAAGAUUACCGCCUUAAGUUUAAGUUACGAAAAUUAGAAAUAUUUGAGUUCAAGAAUCAGAAUAGUCAAUGAAAUAUUGUUAGAAAGGACCAAGUCAAUACACAAUGGAUUUUUUGUAUUGAACCAACCGAAUAUUCUAUGAAAAAUUCUAUUAGGCGACAAUGACAAUAUGUACGUGGAGCAUAUGUAAAGAAGAUAUAACCAGCACACGGUUUAUCAUGAAUUAAACCAUGUCUUAUUUUUAAUUAGUCACUACCUAACAAAUGAAAAUUCUACGUUCAAACUAGAUGUUUGACAAUUGAUGUAACAUGGAUAAGAAAUACUCCCUCCGUCCCUAUAUAUAAGACCCUUUUGCCAAAAUCAUGGGAAUUAAGAUAGUGGAUAUUUGUAUUAAAGUUGUUUGUAAUCACUAUUGUUUUUACAAUUUUAUCCUUUAAGAAAGAAGGUUAGUUUAUGUUUUCAACAUGUUAUUUAUUGUUGAUUGAAGGAAAAAAUGUAUAAUAAAUAGGGGCAUGUAUGUAAAUAAAUAAUUAAUGUAGUUGGAAAUAACAAAGGGAUCUUAUAAAAAAGGACAAAAAAAAUUCUCAAAAGGGUUUUAUAAUUAGGGACGGAGGGAGUAUGAAGUAUAUAAGGAUACACCUACAUUCAUAAACAUAAACAUUGUUUAAUAUCCUCUCAAAAAUAUCAUAGUUUAAUUUAUAAAUCGGUGAAAAUGUAUGCAACAAGACUUCUUUCCAUGUACAAAAGGAAUCCUAGUGCUCUUUCAGAUCCACCACCAUCAGGACCAAAUUCAAGUUAUCUUGUGAUAUUGGAUGAAGUAGCUCAAACUUACUCUUGUUUUGGUUUGUCAAAAGACAAUAGAAUCAAGAAUUUUCCUUUACCUCAGAACAAAAAUUUAACCAUCAAUUUAUCAGCAGGUGAAAGCACCUUUUUGGAAGAAGCUAUGUUCAUUCCAGUAUUGAAUCAACCAUUGUCUUCUAAUCGCUACUAUGUUAUAAGAAGGGAGGGGAAAUAUCAAGGGUAUGUAUUUAUUUAAUUUUAAUCAUUUUCUCGUAAUUUUUGUACAAGUUUUUCCCUGUCAUCCCAACUGAGAGUAUUGUAAUAUGAGACAUAAUUAUAUUUGUGUUGGUAAUUAUCUUUCAUGGUUAAAGAAAGAGAAAAGAUAGAUUCAUAAAGUAAUAGUGGUUCUUUCAAAAUUAAUUGUUAAAUUUGAAUUGAUUUCAGCCAAGCUAGUACAAGUUCAAAGGAAGAGGACAAGACCACAUGUUUAUGUUGUAGUUUUGUCCAUGAUGUUAAACCAAGAGCUUUGAAGCCCUUCAAUGAUUAUCAGCAGUUUGAAAUAAUCAAGAAGAGUUAUGGUUUUCAAGCAAAAUCUAUCGCUUCAAAUGGAAUUCCUCCUGGGUUAUUGAGGGAAGAAGGGUGGGCACUUCAUGCUAGCACUCCCCGCAACUACCAAUUAAGCCAAGCUUUAGGUUCAAAUGAUUCCUUGCGUUCCAAGCUACCAAAUUUCAACUUUCCAUUGACUUAUGAUCAUUCUGGAUCAGUGAUUGUUGGAAACUGGUAUUGUCCUUUUAUGUUUGUGAAAGAAGGAAUGAAUUUAAAGGAGCAGAUGA
Molecule: long non-coding RNA, 3918 nt
Filed under: Medicago truncatula (barrel medic)
Lineage: Eukaryota; Viridiplantae; Streptophyta; Magnoliopsida; Fabales; Fabaceae
Description: long non-coding RNA (MTRU_LNC003035)
Source: RNAcentral